Molecule: long non-coding RNA, 801 nt
Filed under: Medicago truncatula (barrel medic)
Lineage: Eukaryota; Viridiplantae; Streptophyta; Magnoliopsida; Fabales; Fabaceae
Description: lncRNA gene14476
Source: RNAcentral
CCUUCCUCACUCCCUGCUAUAUAUACACCCUCUCUUUCACACACAGGGAUAUGAAUUGCAAACCCUCUUGUUUAGCCGCCGCUAUUCCAGUUUGAGCAGAAAUACAAGUACCUUUCACAACCCAACUCUGGCCAAUUCUUCAUCUUAAUGUACCAAAAGCUAGUCUUCAUAUUCACUUCAUCACAUUUAAUCAGAUCCCAUAUAUUCCACACAAUCAACCUACAUAUUUCUAUAUUAAUUUUCUUCUUUGUCCAUUUCAUCACCUAAUUCUCUUUGUGAUUUUAUGAUAGAGGGAUCAAUGAGCACUUUAAAUACUUGAAUGCCGCAUUGGUGCAUGUGAUUAAGAUCUGAUGCAACAGAUCUAUGAGGUUUAUAUUAUUUCACCGAUUAUGAUUUCUUUAACUAAUUAUGUCACAAACCAACAGUGACAAAUUUAGUUAAAGAAAUCAUACUCAGUGGAAUAAUUUAAUCCUCAAAGAUCUUUGUAGCAGUGACAUACUUAUGCCUAUAAAAGUGAUCCAAAUAGGUUUGUAUUAUCAAAACUAUAAGAUCUUCAUAUCUACAUAACAUUCAAAUAAAGCUUCGAUGCUUCUUCUAGUAGAUUGAAGUGUGGGUCUCUUAUGUUGUAUACAAAUAAAUCUUGUUGGAUCUGAUGGUAGAUUGCAUCAUAUAACGAUAUUAUGUAUUUUAAUAUUUCUGAUUUUCAUGAUUAAUUAUGUUGUAAUUUAUGCAUAGUAAUGUUUUAUGCAUUUAUUUAUGAUUUUUGAUAUUAAUAAAUUCUCAAAUAUUAAGGAGCUCAAU